UGGGGAAUAUUGGACAAUGGGCGCAAGCCUGAUCCAGCCAUGCCGCGUGAGUGAUGAAGGCCUUAGGGUUGUAAAGCUCUUUUGUCCGGGAAGAUAAUGACCGUACCGGAAGAAUAAGCUCCGGCUAACUUCGUGCCAGCAGCCGCGGUAAUACGAAGGAUGCAAGCGUUAUCCGGAAUUAUUGGGUUUAAAGGGUGCGUAGGCGGACUAAUAAGUCAGUGGUGAAAGCCUGCAGCUUAACUGCAGAGUUGCCAUUGAUACUGUUAGUCUUGAGUACAGUUGAGGUAGGCGGAAUGUGUCAUGUAGCGGUGAAAUGCUUAGAUAUGACACAGAACACCGAUUGCGAAGGCAGCUUGCUAAGCUGUAACUGACGCUGAGGCACGAAAGCGUGGGGAGCAAACA
RNAcentral lists this ribosomal RNA (402 nucleotides) under uncultured bacterium. RNAcentral's name for it is "bacterial SSU rRNA". It matches the Rfam family "Bacterial small subunit ribosomal RNA", at positions 355 to 774 of the family's 1533-position model. The record is from RNAcentral.